This 796-nucleotide ribosomal RNA is filed under the name uncultured archaeon. RNAcentral describes it as "bacterial SSU rRNA". It matches the Rfam family "Archaeal small subunit ribosomal RNA", at positions 1 to 805 of the family's 1478-position model. The record is from RNAcentral.
UUCCGGUUGAUCCCGCCGGAGGCCAUUGCUAUCGGUGUCCGAUUUAGCCAUGCGAGUCGCACGUUCAACGUGGCGAACGGCUCAGUAACACGUGGUCAAACUACCCUACGGACCGUGAUAACCUCGGGAAACUGAGGCUAAUAACGGAUGUCGCUCCCGAGCUGGGAUGCUGGGAGCGAUAAAGCUCCGGCGCCGUAGGAUGUGACUGCGGCCGAUUAGGUAGACGGUGGGGUAAUGGCCCACCGUGCCGAUAAUCGGUACGGGUUGUGAGAGCAAGAACCCGGAGACGGACUCUGAGACAAGAGUCCGGGCCCUACGGGGCGCAGCAGGCGCGAAACCUUUACACUGCACGCAAGUGCGAUAGGGGGACACCGAGUGCGAGGGCAUAGAGCCCUCGCUUUUGUGCAUCGUAAGGUGGUACACGAAUAAGGGCUGGGCAAGACCGGUGCCAGCCGCCGCGGUAACACCGGCAGCCCGAGUGAUGGCCGCUUUUAUUGGGCCUAAAGCGUCCGUAGCCGGCCGUUCAGGUCCGUCGGGAAAUCCACUGGCUCAACCAGUGGGCGUCCGGCGGAAACCGAUCGGCUUGGGACAGGGAGACCAGAGGGGUACGUCCGGGGUAGGAGUGAAAUCCUGUAAUCCUGGACGGACCACCGGUGGCGAAAGCGCCUCUGGAGAACUGAUCCGACGGUGAGGGACGAAAGCUGGGGUCUCGAACCGGAUUAGAUACCCGGGUAGUCCCAGCUGUAAACAAUGCUCGCUAGGUGUGUCGCANGCUACGAGCCUGCGAUGUGCUGUA